Molecule: ribosomal RNA, 257 nt
Filed under: uncultured bacterium
Lineage: Bacteria
Description: partial 16S ribosomal RNA
Rfam family: Archaeal small subunit ribosomal RNA
Source: RNAcentral
UAACACUGGCAGCUCAAGUGGUGGCCGUUUUUAUUGGGCCUAAAGCGUUCGUAGCCGGUUUGAUAAGUCUCUGGUGAAAUCCUACAGCUUAACUGUGGGAAUUGCUGGAGAUACUAUCAGACUUGAGGUCGGGAGAGGUUAGAGGAACUCCCAGGGUAGGGGUGAAAUCCUAUAAUCCUGGGAGGACCACCUGUGGCGAAGGCGUCUAACUGGAACGAACCUGACGGUGAGUAACGAAAGCCAGGGGCGCGAACCGG